Molecule: long non-coding RNA, 2466 nt
Filed under: Chinchilla lanigera (long-tailed chinchilla)
Lineage: Eukaryota; Metazoa; Chordata; Mammalia; Rodentia; Chinchillidae
Description: lncRNA (ENSCLAG00000023626.1)
Source: RNAcentral
AUGCAUAGUUUGUCUUCAGCACGACAGCACCCACGCAGUGAAUGCACGGUCCUGCUUCACCCCGGCCCCUCUCUCCACUCCGCCUCUCGAUCAUACACCCCUUCACACGCCGUGCCAUCGCUGCCUCCGACAGCGAAACCCAGGCGGCGACACACGGGCCUCCCGCUCUCCUUCCUGGAGCGGCAUCUGGCUAAAUCUGCAGACGAAAACCUGCAGAGAAGCUCUCGCCAAGCAAACACCAAACCAGGGCAGACAGGCUGGAUCCUCAGCCCCAGCCCGGUGGCGCCUGUUGUUCACAGCGCGUCCGCGUCCUGCCAACGCACUGAGACAGACCCGGAGUACAUUUCCGACUUGGCGAAGGCAGCACAAAGAUGGUCCCUAUGCAGCCCAGGCACCAAGGGGACGUCGGGGGUCGCGGACGGAGGGACGCGCCUGCCCCGGGUCCAGGUCCUCAGAAGUCCGGCGCUGAGCGGCUGGCGCCGUGUCCGCCGUUGCACCCCCGCUGCCAGCCCGCUGCCCGCCCACAGGGACCGGGGGACACCGGACACGCGGCCGGCUGCGCGGGUAGGACCCAUGCGCACGGAGCUCGAGCGAGCACCGUUAUCCUCCUGGAAUCCCGUGGUAAACGUGGGUUCGAAUCGGGCUUCCCCGGCGCCGAGACGCGCGCCAGCCUGGAGACGGGUACACCACCCCGGCAUGGGGGAACCUCCGGGAAAACGUGCCGCUCGGCCGGGCACUCUUGGCCCUGCCUUUGACAGCCAGAGAGGUCCGGAUGAGCGGAGGAGCAGCUGGUGAACAAGGACUGGGAGAGCGCGGGAGUACCCACGCCCGACGACUCGGAGGUCGAGCUGACUGGGGACGCAGGAGCCGUAGCCGUUCGGGAGCUGGACACCAGGAGGACCUUGUGCAACAUCCAGGGAGCCGCCCUGGAGGCCAUUCCUCCCCUAACCGUGCAGGCUGCGGUGGAGGAGGGAGUGGGGCUCCGGAGAGGCCUGCACCGAGACUUCAUGGAUUACAUGGGUGCCCAGUAUUCAGAUUCUGAAGAACCGCCUUCAUGGAGAAGGUGCGUGUCCAGGUUACCUGCCUGGGACACCUCGCACCUGAUGGAGCUGAGACUGACUAGGGGCCGAGGACUCAUCCACGUGUUCCCCCGCCUGUGCUGACGGUUGGGGAGAGGAAGCUAACUGGUUGCAGGGUCCCAAUGCACUGGGAGGCCGGAGAGAACACCCCUCAGCUUUCUUAGAGGAGAGGCACUGAUAAAGCAUGCUUCCCUGGAUCCCAGUGCAGUAGAGGGACACACCAUUCUUGAGGAGGGGUUUGUUACUCAGUCAGCCCCUGAGAGGGAAGGGGGCUGCGGAGGACGCUUUUGUCCUGGAUGGCUGGCUUGAGAUGCUGGUGGGAGUGGCCUCCUCAGUGUUUGGGACCCUGGCUACGGGGAGGCCAAGGGCAGAGGGCAGAGAGAGGAGAGGGGACGGCUGCCUCUGCUGCAGCAGUGGGAGAGGCAGACCCUGGGUCUGGUUCUCGGGGCCCCGGGAGGGGUGGUGCUCAUCCAGUGCAUUUGUCUGCUGCCGCUGUCGGGGCCAGGCCACCUCGGGAGGGACUGCCCUGGGAGGCCCCUGGGCCAUGCCCUGACUGUGGGGGUGGCCACUGGAGGUCAGGCUGCCCUCUGGAGCAGGGGCCUCAGGGCUCAGACCCCUCCUACCAGCUGGUCCGGCAGGAAUGAAGGGACCCAGGGCAUCCUCUGCCUUCUCCCUCUGGCUGGACCAUUGUCUCCAAGGAUGAGCCCCGGGAAAUCAUGACUGUAGAGGAAAAAGUGGACAGCCCGUCGCUGGACACUGGUGCUGGUUUCUCGGUCCUUCUUUCCAGUCCUGGCCUUCCUUCUAGCCAUUAGACCUCAGUGAGGGGAGUCACUGCUGAGGAGGUAAUCUGCUAUUUUUUGCAACCCUGGGGCUGUAACUUCGUGUUGGAUCUUUCUUGCUAUCUUUGUUUUCCUGAGAAGCCACUUUGAGGAUGCCAACAUGUACUGCAGCAGCCGUUGAUGAUUUCCUCCCAAUCUGCCCAUAACUCUGUAAUGUUCGUAUUGUUCCUAUGCUAUUUCAUAAAUGGAUGUAUGUUUGUUACUAUGUGUUAUCAACAACCAUCAAGAAUAAUCAAUGAUUAUUUGAUUGAUCACUCAUGUAUAGCUCUAUUUGUUUUCUUUCCCUAGAGACCACUCUGGAGAAUCCAAGCUAUAGUGUAACUACCAUUGACAAUUUCCUGCCAUUUUUGUCUAUAAUUCACUAUUAUUUGUCUAUUUGUUUUCCUGAGAAAUAUCUUGAAGAUACCAAUAGGUAAAAUAACAGCCAUUGAUAAUGUCCUACCACUUUGUCUAUAAUUAGGGGGAUUCACCGAUUGCUACGUUGUCCUUCUUUUACUCUUUAAAAUAAAAUAAAAUUUUUUUAAAAAUGGGCUUCCCUCACCGCCAAG